Molecule: long non-coding RNA, 3173 nt
Filed under: Malus domestica (apple)
Lineage: Eukaryota; Viridiplantae; Streptophyta; Magnoliopsida; Rosales; Rosaceae
Description: long non-coding RNA (MDOM_LNC014769)
Source: RNAcentral
UGCAGGCUACGCUUGUAAAAAGCCAGCAAAAGUUACGGUAGAUGAUUUCGUGUACUCAGGCCUAGGCAUUGCCGGCAACACCACAAAUAUCAUCAAAGCUGCAGUCACCCCUGCAUUUGCUGCUCAAUUUCCUGGUGUGAAUGGCCUCGGCAUUUCACUUGCGCGCCUAGACCUGGAUGCGGGUGGAGUUAUCCCAUUCCACACACACCCUGGGGCUUCUGAAGUCCUACUUGUUGCGCAAGGAACAAUAAUUGCUGGGUUUGUUUCCUCAGCUAACACGGUUUAUCUGAAAACUCUUAAGAAGGGUGACAUUAUGGUGUUCCCUCAAGGCCUAUUGCACUUCCAAGUGAAUGGAGAUAAAACUCCAUCCCUUGCAUAUGUUAGCUUCAGUAGUCCAAGCCCCGGUCUGCAGAUUCUGGACUUUGCACUGUUCCAAAACGACUUACCUACUGAAUUGAUAGCGCAGACUACUUUCCUCGAUGUUGCUCAGAUAAAGAAGCUUAAGGGUGUUCUUGGUGGUACUAAUUAGAUUGUCUCCUUUCCAUCCUCCGUCUUCGGGGGGUUAUUCCAUGUCUUUUUGUUUUCUUGUUGUGAUUGAGAAUAAUGGAGUGCUCUAUUUUUGUAUGCUUGUAGAAGUAUUAUUCUAUGCUUCCGUCUGACCAAUGUAGCAACAAUUGUGUUGAAGGCAAUGCAUCCUCUGAUCGAUAUUUGUUCUUUUUAUAUAAUUUCCAUUUUAUUGAGGUAACCUGCUUAAUUUUUCAAUCAAGAAAUAAGAACACUAGUGUACCUUAUCCGCUGCAAAUUGCACGAGUAUCGCAAUGCUUCUGAUUUUGGAUAACUCAUAUAUUUAACUCCACCUUCAUCUCAUGAUCGACUUCUUUCAAUGAAAGUUUCCGGGAUUCGCACCUACCAUAAACUCCCACCCAGUCGUGAACUUCCUUUACCUUUAAGGAGAGGAAGGAGAGUUCUCAUUACACAGGAUGGAUUCGUUCCCUAUUCCUACGGCUUAGAAGCCUCAAGCUCCACCCCUUUACUCUCUCUACCUCCUUAAUUAGCGUUUCACACUAAGCUCUUUGAUCUUUGAGGCUACCUUAUUGUGCUUAGGGUUAAGGUUAAGAAAGGUAGUAUACUAUAUAUGAUUAUUUGGAUCGGGCGAGAAGCCCUCUAACAUAUGUAAAUAUCAAACAUAUUAUGAAAUUAUGAAUGAUGGCAGCGUUGUUGAAAAUUCACAAUAUAAAAAAAAGUAGCAAGGAACCUCAAACAUGAGGCACAUGAAUUUGUAGUGCAGGAAGUUCAUCGAGUGCCCAAAGGCAAUGCCGAAAACCCUGCUAAAAACCAGGUCAUUAUCCAUAUUGUCUGAUAUUAUUGUUGUUUUUAAUCCAUAGUUUAUUGUAGAUUGGUUCAUGUUCAUGCAGAAGCGAUGUUGAUGCAGCGCAAAUCAAGGGAUUAUUUGUCAAUUUGUAAUAAAUUAGGUAUUUUAUUUUAUUUUUCAUAAUUACUUAAUUAAACAAGGAAAUUAAGUAUUUUCGUUAUUUAUUUUUUAUUUCAUGUUAAGACUCUAGGUUAUUUUUUUUCUAUUUAAGCACAAUGUAAUUUAGGAUUUAGGAGACUUUUGGAAUAUUAUUAUUGAAUUUUACUCUUUGAGAGGCAAGGAUUCCUUUCGUUUUAUCCCUUUCUCGUGUGUCCGUUGAAUGUGCGGUUGUGUUGUUGAUGUGUGCACUUCCGCAUCUGUAUCAGAUGUGGUGUUGGAUCCAUCUAGUAAUGAUUAAGGUGAAGGGAGAAGAAUCUUACAUUUAAGAUACACACAACGACAUAGAAGUCGGAAAGACUUUUGACCGUAAGUAAUGAAAUGCAAGAACCCUACAAGAAGGGGAGUUUCUGAUAUCCACAUAAUUCCCAUUCCCGUGAUACCUUUUUAUCUGUAAAAAUGUCUUCUAACCCUAUCUCAAGGACCACAAUCUGCUCACCAUUUUCGAAUUCUCUCGAUGGACUUCAAAUCUUAGGACACAACCUUGGACCCUCUAAGUAGAUAAAUAAGUUCGCAAAACACGAAAUACGUCUAUAUCUCGUUAAUGUAUUGAUUGUUUUAGUAAAACAGUUACAAAAUAUGUUAAAUAAUUUAUAGUUGAUAAUUAAUUAUAUAUAACAGACUGGAAAAAGCUUACUAGUUUUGCAUUAUGUGUGGAACACCAUUUUUUUUUUUUUGGGAUAAACGAUAUUAUCUACACUAAGGGGGAGAGGGGUGAGCUUAGACUCACAAUGGGUUAGCAAUAAAGUGGCUCAAAGCCACAUUUGGCGAGAAUCGAAUCUAAAACCUCACACUUAUAAAUGAAGAGGAAUACUACUAGACUGUAAUAUUAAGUGACGUGUGGAACACCAUAUUUUAUAGUACUAAUAGAUGGGAUUUUAGUCGAAUGACGAAAUAUUUGGGAACUCGAAUAACAAUCAGUCGGUAGUUUUUCUGCAUAUCAUCUUUCUACUGUUACUGCAUUGUCAAAAACAAAAAGAGGCUUCUUGCUGUCAUCUGAUGAAAAUAUCACACUCACAUGCUUCGCAGCUAGAAAUCUGUCCUUUGCCCCAUCGUAUAGUUUCGAAAUACAAUACAUGUGAACCCUAAUGGGCAUAUUCCUAACAACCAAUUGCAGUGAGCUCAAGAUAUUUUCAUAUCCCUCUAUAUAUAUGUUCCCAAUUAUCAUGAAGCAUAUCUUAAAAACAGCUUUAGCAAGCACACAAUUUUUGUGCUACGUAACGAUGAUAUUCCCUAUCUUGUUCACGUUUUCUCUCCUCCUCUCCUCCUCCAAUGCCGCUGUGCAGGACUUCUGUGUUGCAGACCUCACAGCUCCUGACGGCCCUGCAGGCUACUCUUGCAAAAGCCCUGCAAAUGUUAAAGUAGAUGACUUUGUUUUCUCGGGCCUAGGCGUUGCUGGCAACACUACAAACAUCAUCAAAGCUGCAGUCACCCCUGCAUUUGCUGCUCAGUUCCCUGGUGUCAACGGCCUUGGCAUUUCACUUGCGCGUCUGGACCUGGCUGUUGGUGGAGUCAUCCCAUUUCACACACACCCUGGAGGUUCGGAAGUCCUAAUUGUCAUCGAAGGGACCAUCUGCGCCGGCUUUGUUUCCUCAGCGAACACAGUUUAUCUACAAACUCUUGAGAAGGGAGACAUUAUGGUUUU